GACGAACGCUGGCGGCGCGCCUAACACAUGCAAGUCGAACGAGCGAGAGAGAGCUUGCUUUCUCGAGCGAGUGGCGAACGGGUGAGUAACGCGUGAGGAACCUACCUCAAAGAGGGGGACAACAGUUGGAAACGACUGCUAAUACCGCAUAAGCCCACAGCUCGGCAUCGAGCAGAGGGAAAGGGAGCAAUCCGCUUUGAGAUGGCCUCGCGUCCGAUUAGCUAGUUGGUGAGGUAAUGGCCCACCAAGGCAACGAUCGGUAGCCGGACUGAGAGGUUGAACGGCCACAUUGGGACUGAGACACGGCCCAGACUCCUACGGGAGGCAGCAGUGGGGAAUAUUGCACAAUGGGGGAAACCCUGAUGCAGCGACGCCGCGUGGAGGAAGAAGGUCUUCGGAUUGUAAACUCCUGUUGUUGAGGAAGAUAAUGACGGUACUCAACAAGGAAGUGACGGCUAACUACGUGCCAGCAGCCGCGGUAAAACGUAGGUCACAAGCGUUGUCCGGAAUUACUGGGUGUAAAGGGAGCGCAGGCGGGAAGACAAGUUGGAAGUGAAAUCUAUGGGCUCAACCCAUAAACUGCUUUCAAAACUGUUUUUCUUGAGUAGUGCAGAGGUAGGCGGAAUUCCCGGUGUAGCGGUGGAAUGCGUAGAUAUCGGGAGGAACACCAGUGGCGAAGGCGGCCUACUGGGCACCAACUGACGCUGAGGCUCGAAAGUGUGGGUAGCAAACAGGAUUAGAUACCCUGGUAGUCCACACCGUAAACGAUGAUUACUAGGUGUUGGAGGAUUGACCCCUUCAGUGCCGCAGUUAACACAAUAAGUAAUCCACCUGGGGAGUACGACCGCAAGGUUGAAACUCAAAGGAAUUGACGGGGGCCCGCACAAGCAGUGGAGUAUGUGGUUUAAUUCGACGCAACGCGAAGAACCUUACCAAGUCUUGACAUCCCUUGACGAACAUAGAAAUAUGUUUUCUCUUCGGAGCAAGGAGACAGGUGGUGCAUGGUUGUCGUCAGCUCGUGUCGUGAGAUGUUGGGUUAAGUCCCGCAACGAGCGCAACCCUUACUGUCAGUUACUACGCAAGAGGACUCUGGCAGGACUGCCGUUGACAAAACGGAGGAAGGUGGGGAUGACGUCAAAUCAUCAUGCCCUUUAUGACUUGGGCUACACACGUACUACAAUGGCGUUAAACAAAGAGAAGCAAGACCGCGAGGUGGAGCAAAACUCAGAAACAACGUCCCAGUUCGGACUGCAGGCUGCAACUCGCCUGCACGAAGUCGGAAUUGCUAGUAAUCGUGGAUCAGCAUGCCACGGUGAAUACGUUCCCGGGCCUU
This 1333-nucleotide ribosomal RNA is filed under the name uncultured bacterium. RNAcentral's name for it is "bacterial SSU rRNA". It matches the Rfam family "Bacterial small subunit ribosomal RNA", at positions 28 to 1382 of the family's 1533-position model. The record is from RNAcentral.